GACGAACGCUGGCGGCGUGCCUAAUACAUGCAAGUUGAGCGAUGAAGAUUGGUGCUUGCACCAAUUUGAAGAGCAGCGAACGGGUGAGUAACGCGUGGGGAAUCUGCCUUUGAGCGGGGGACAACAUUUGGAAACGAAUGCUAAUACCGCAUAACAACUUUAAACAUAAGUUUUAAGUUUGAAAGAUGCAAUUGCAUCACUCAAAGAUGAUCCCGCGUUGUAUUAGCUAGUUGGUGAGGUAAAGGCUCACCAAGGCGAUGAUACAUAGCCGACCUGAGAGGGUGAUCGGCCACAUUGGGACUGAGACACGGCCCAAACGCCUACGGGAGGCAGCAGUAGGGAAUCUUCGGCAAGGGACGAAAGUCUGACCGAGCAACGCCGCGUGAGUGAAGAAGGUUGUCGGAUCGUAAAACUCUGUUGGUAGAGAAGAACGUUUGUGAGAGUGGAAAGCUCAUCAAGUGACGGUAACUACCCAGAAAGGGACGGCUAACUACGUG
RNAcentral lists this ribosomal RNA (497 nucleotides) under uncultured bacterium. RNAcentral's name for it is "partial 16S ribosomal RNA". It matches the Rfam family "Bacterial small subunit ribosomal RNA", at positions 28 to 507 of the family's 1533-position model. The record is from RNAcentral.